UGCAGUCAUACAACGCUGAUUUGCAUGCACUGUGAUGAAGUUUCAUCUUCAGGGCUGUGAUGAUGUUCAAGAGGUCUUUGUACAGUGUUAUGUAUAGUGGCUGCUACAGGAAUAGUAGGCCUUUGAGGCCUAGAGCACAUGCAGAUCCAACAAGCAGCAGACAGAUCAAGUGCAAUCCUACACCGUAACCUUUCCGCAACCUCUCCAAGAUGCAGGUCUUCCAUGGAAAGGCACCACCUGUAACUGCAGAACCUCUCACCUACAUUUUAACCUGUCACCUACCUCAAGUACAAUGGCUCCCACAAAUCAAGCACUUCACAACCUAAAAGGUUCUCUUUCUUCACCUAAAGUCUAAAGACAGUCAUCACUAUCUGGAUCUUAAUUAAAUAUUGUAGCAUACCAUCUGUAAGCAACUGUUAAACUGAAUUAAAUACAUGGCAUCUUC
Protopterus annectens (West African lungfish) is the source of this 445-nucleotide long non-coding RNA. RefSeq lists it as uncharacterized. NCBI's taxonomy places the organism in Eukaryota, Metazoa, Chordata, Ceratodontiformes, Protopteridae. The transcript is spliced from 3 exons. The record is from RefSeq and is a predicted model, not a curated record.